AUGAACGCUGGCGGCGUGCCUAAUACAUGCAAGUCGAGCGAACAGACGAGGAGCUUGCUCCUCUGACGUUAGCGGCGGACGGGUGAGUAACACGUGGAUAACCUACCUAUAAGACUGGGAUAACUUCGGGAAACCGGAGCUAAUACCGGAUAAUAUAUUGAACCGCAUGGUUCAAUAGUGAAAGACGGUUUUGCUGUCACUUAUAGAUGGAUCCGCGCCGCAUUAGCUAGUUGGUAAGGUAACGGCUUACCAAGGCAACGAUGCGUAGCCGACCUGAGAGGGUGAUCGGCCACACUGGAACUGAGACACGGUCCAGACUCCUACGGGAGGCAGCAGUAGGGAAUCUUCCGCAAUUGGCGAAAGCCUGACGGAGCAACGCCGCGUGAGUGAUGAAGGUCUUCGGAUCGUAAAACUCUGUUAUUAGGGAAGAACAAAUGUGUAAGUAACUAUGCACGUCUUGACGGUACCUAAUCAGAAAGCCACGGCUAACUACGUG
RNAcentral lists this ribosomal RNA (496 nucleotides) under uncultured bacterium. RNAcentral describes it as "partial 16S ribosomal RNA". It matches the Rfam family "Bacterial small subunit ribosomal RNA", at positions 29 to 507 of the family's 1533-position model. The record is from RNAcentral.